Molecule: ribosomal RNA, 425 nt
Filed under: uncultured bacterium
Lineage: Bacteria
Description: bacterial SSU rRNA
Rfam family: Bacterial small subunit ribosomal RNA
Source: RNAcentral
GUGGGGAAUCUUAGACAAUGGGGGCAACCCUGAUCUAGCCAUGCCGCGUGAGUGAUGAAGGCCUUAGGGUCGUAAAGCUCUUUCGCUGGGGAAGAUAAUGACGGUACCCAGUAAAGAAACCCCGGCUAACUCCGUGCCAGCAGCCGCGGUAAUACGGAGGGGGUUAGCGUUGUUCGGAAUUACUGGGCGUAAAGCGCGCGUAGGCGGAUUGGAAAGUUGGGGGUGAAAUCCCGGGGCUCAACCCUGGAAUGGCCUUCAAAACUCCCAGUCUUGAGGUCGAGAGAGGUGAGUGGAAUUCCGAGUGUAGAGGUGAAAUUCGUAGAUAUUCGGAGGAACACCAGUGGCGAAGGCGGCUCACUGGCUCGAUACUGACGCUGAGGUGCGAAAGCGUGGGGAGCAAACAGGAUUAGAUACCCGAGUAGUCC